RNAcentral lists this ribosomal RNA (502 nucleotides) under uncultured bacterium. RNAcentral describes it as "partial 16S ribosomal RNA". It matches the Rfam family "Bacterial small subunit ribosomal RNA", at positions 30 to 523 of the family's 1533-position model. The record is from RNAcentral.
AUUGAACGCUGGCGGAAUGCUUUACACAUGCAAGUCGAACGGCAGCACGGGAGCUUGCUCCUGGUGGCGAGUGGCGAACGGGUGAGUAAUAUAUCGGAACGUAUCCAAUAAUGGGGGAUAACUAGUCGAAAGAUUAGCUAAUACCGCAUACGCCCUGAGGGGGAAAGCUGGGGAUUUUCGGACCUAGCGUUAAUGGAGCGGCCGAUAUCUGAUUAGCUAGUAGGUGAGGUAAAAGCUCACCUAGGCGACGAUCAGUAGCUGGUCUGAGAGGACGACCAGCCACACUGGAACUGAGACACGGUCCAGACUCCUACGGGAGGCAGCAGUGGGGAAUUUUGGACAAUGGGCGCAAGCCUGAUCCAGCCAUUCCGCGUGAGUGAAGAAGGCCUUCGGGUUGUAAAGCUCUUUCGCAAGGGAAGAAAACUUAACCUCUAACAUAGGUUGAGGCUGACGGUACCUUGAUAAGAAGCACCGGCUAACUACGUGCCAGCCGCCGCCGUAA